RNAcentral lists this transfer RNA (63 nucleotides) under Eophreatoicus karrkkanj. RNAcentral describes it as "tRNA-Asn". The record is from RNAcentral. Lineage: Eukaryota; Metazoa; Arthropoda; Malacostraca; Isopoda; Amphisopidae.
AAGAGUAAAGCCAAAAUAGAGGCGAGUCUUUGUUACAGAUUUAAUUGGAUUUUCCUACUUUUA